Molecule: ribosomal RNA, 455 nt
Filed under: Streptococcus mitis
Lineage: Bacteria; Bacillati; Bacillota; Bacilli; Lactobacillales; Streptococcaceae
Also listed under: 1 other name
Description: bacterial SSU rRNA
Rfam family: Bacterial small subunit ribosomal RNA
Source: RNAcentral
GACGAACGCUGGCGGCGUGCCUAAUACAUGCAAGUAGAACGCUGAAGGAGGAGCUUGCUUCUCCGGAUGAGUUGCGAACGGGUGAGUAACGCGUAGGUAACCUGCCUGGUAGCGGGGGAUAACUAUUGGAAACGAUAGCUAAUACCGCAUAAGAGUAGAUGUUGCAUGACAUUUGCUUAAAAGGUGCAAUUGCAUCACUACCAGAUGGACCUGCGUUGUAUUAGCUAGUUGGUGGGGUAACGGCUCACCAAGGCGACGAUACAUAGCCGACCUGAGAGGGUGAUCGGCCACACUGGGACUGAGACACGGCCCAGACUCCUACGGGAGGCAGCAGUAGGGAAUCUUCGGCAAUGGACGGAAGUCUGACCGAGCAACGCCGCGUGAGUGAAGAAGGUUUUCGGAUCGUAAAGCUCUGUUGUAAGAGAAGAACGAGUGUGAGAGUGGAAAGUUCACAC